GUCCGUAGGUGAACCUGCGGAAGGAUCAUUACCGAACUGUCAACACGAGUUGUUGCUGGUCCUCGUAUGGGGGCAUGUGCACGCUCUGUUCACACAUCCAUUUACACCUGUGCACCACUGUAGUUCCAUGGCCUGGGGGACUCUGUCCUCUUGCCGUGGUUCUAUGUCUUUACAUACGUACCGUAAUAAAGUUUCAUGGAAUGCAUGACGCGUCUAACGCAAUACAAUACAACUUUCAGCAACGGAUCUCUUGGCUCUCGCAUCGAUGAAGAACGCAGCGAAAUGCGAUACGUAAUGUGAAUUGCAGAAUUCAGUGAAUCAUCGAAUCUUUGAACGCACCUUGCGCCCCUUGGCAUUCCGAGGGGCACACCCGUUUGAGUGUCGUGAACAUCCUCAACUUGCUUGGUUUUUAUUGAACCAAGUAGGCUUGGAAUUUGGAGGUUUUCUGCUGGCCUCCUCCGAAGCCAGCUCCUCUUAAAUCUAUUAGUGGGAUCCGCUUUGCUAGAUCCUCGACGUUGAUAAGAUGUUUCUACGUCUUGGGUUUCGCUCGGGAAAGGACCUGCUUCUAACCGUCCCAUCGGGGACAAUGUUCGAGCCAAUCGCCCUUCACGGGGUGGGAAGCUUUUUCGACCCAUGAAACCUUGACCUCAA
RNAcentral lists this ribosomal RNA (651 nucleotides) under uncultured Russula. Its description in RNAcentral is "eukaryotic LSU rRNA". The stretch from base 231 to 384 matches the Rfam family "5.8S ribosomal RNA". The record is from RNAcentral. Lineage: Eukaryota; Fungi; Basidiomycota; Agaricomycetes; Russulales; Russulaceae.